UUCACCAACCUGGAACGAACCCCUUUUGAUUGAUUUGUCUUUUUCCGCUUACUGCCGGUGGUGUUCGAAAGUCCCGACAGCAAACAGAAAAAGGCGCCUCAAUCAAUUACAGAACGCCGUCAAAUUAGUGCCCCAAGAA
Molecule: microRNA precursor, 139 nt
Filed under: Culex quinquefasciatus (southern house mosquito)
Lineage: Eukaryota; Metazoa; Arthropoda; Insecta; Diptera; Culicidae
Description: microRNA cqu-mir-316 precursor
Gene: cqu-mir-316
Source: miRBase by way of RNAcentral